UAUUCCCCACUGCUGCCUCCCGUAGGAGUCUGGGCCGUGUCUCAGUCCCAAUGUGGCCGUUCAACCUCUCAGUCCGGCUACCGAUCGUCGCCUUGGUGGGCCGUUACCCCGCCAACAAGCUAAUCGGACGCGAGUCCAUCUCUAAGCGAUAAAUCUUUGAUAUCAAAGUCAUGCGGCUUCAAUAUGUUAUGCGGUAUUAGCGAUCUUUUCAGAACGUUAUUCCCCUCUUAGAGGCAGGUUACUCACGCGUUACUCACCCGUCCGCCACUAAGUUAAAAAUCCGUCAUCCCGAAGGAAUCCGUCAAAAUAACUCCGUUCGACUUGCAUGUGUUAGGCACGCCGCCAGCGUUCAUCCUGAGCCA
Molecule: ribosomal RNA, 362 nt
Filed under: uncultured rumen bacterium
Lineage: Bacteria
Description: partial 16S ribosomal RNA
Source: RNAcentral